This 278-nucleotide ribosomal RNA is filed under the name uncultured Akkermansia sp. RNAcentral describes it as "partial 16S ribosomal RNA". It matches the Rfam family "Bacterial small subunit ribosomal RNA", at positions 511 to 788 of the family's 1533-position model. The record is from RNAcentral. Lineage: Bacteria; Pseudomonadati; Verrucomicrobiota; Verrucomicrobiia; Verrucomicrobiales; Akkermansiaceae.
GCAGCCGCGGUAAUACAGAGGUCUCAAGCGUUGUUCGGAAUCACUGGGCGUAAAGGGUACGUAGGCGGCGUCAUAAGUCGUGCGUGAAAGGCAGGGGCUCAACCUCUGGAGUGCGCGUGAUACUGUGAUGCUGGAGUAAUGGAGGGGGAACCGGAAUUCUUGGUGUAGCAGUGAAAUGCGUAGAUAUCAAGAAGAAGACUCGUGGCGAAGGCGGGUUCCUGGACAUUUACUGACGCUGAGGUACGAAGGCCAGGGUAGCGAAAGGGAUUAGAUACCCC